This is a small nuclear RNA of Bison bison bison, 111 nucleotides long. NCBI's taxonomy places the organism in Eukaryota, Metazoa, Chordata, Mammalia, Artiodactyla, Bovidae. The record is from Ensembl.
GUGCUCACUCCGACAGCACAUAUAAUAAAAUUGGAACAGUACAGAGAAGGUUACAGAGAACGGCUCCCGCACAAGGAUGACAUGCAAAUUCAUGAGGCGCUCCAUAUAUUU